This 252-nucleotide long non-coding RNA is filed under the name Brassica napus (rape). RNAcentral describes it as "long non-coding RNA (BNAP_LNC014826)". The record is from RNAcentral. Lineage: Eukaryota; Viridiplantae; Streptophyta; Magnoliopsida; Brassicales; Brassicaceae.
CUAUAUAUACUGAAACCUAUAAUCUUUAGAGUUGUUUUUUUUUUGUUUUUUUUUGUUUUUUUUUGUCAGUCUUUAGAAUUGUUUUAAAAUUUCUAACCACAUUCUACUUUUGUAUUAAUGUAUGAUAAACUCUAUUUCAUGGUACAUGAGCAUCGUUCAAUUUGUUUUAGAAAUUAAUUUAGUAAAACUUCUUAUACUCCUUAAAUUAGUGGAUUAACCAAUAUAAAAUCGCUAUUCUCUAGAGAAAUGGAG